UGCUUAUUUGAGUUUGCCGAAUCCAUUUCUGCAUCCCUUUCGUGCAGAAAUGACUCCGACUCAGUCCGACACUCUCCAGAUGUGUUGACCAGUCACUAAUACUAUAGCCAAUCCUAUCCAAACCUCAGGAACACUACACAUCAAAUAAGAGAAGAUUACACCUGACUCAUCUUCUAUAAUAAAAUAGCUACAAAGCCUUCUUUCUCGAAUCUCUCAUAUCAUUCUCUCAUCUUUUAUUAAUCUAAAAGACUACUCACUUAUAGACGCAUCCGUACAUAAGGUGCAUCCAACUCACUAUCUCUCUCUCUUUUUCUCUCUCUGGUACGGCACCCAAGGCUCCAACCGUACUCCCUCAAGAGCACACACCUAAUUAAUUAGCCAAUGCAUUAUUUAUAAUGCUCAACUUAAAACGUACCCAAUCCUAUUAAUUAAUAUCUAAAUCUAUCUUAAUUAAUCUCGAAUAAAUUUAAAUAUUAAUCAUAAUUUAGUUAUGUUUAUCCUCUAAUUAAUAUUUAAAUCUUAAUUUAUCUCCAACAUAUUUAAAUAUUAAUUCUUAUCCAAAUAGGAUUCAACUACAAAUCUAACUAAAUUCUAACAAUCUCCACCUUGGUUGGAUUUGUAGUCUUCAACUCCAACGUCGAGCUUACCAUGCAAACUCCACCUUGAGCUUGUCUUCUCCACUCGAUGUUGGCGCAUCUGUCGCUCGGCCUCGAGCAACUGCACUUCCACGAACUUUUGGAACCCAAACGGUUUUCGCUCUCGUUCUGACUGUACUCCCGUUCAAAACGUAUAAGUUUUCGCGCUUGUUCGCUUCGCACAUGACCCGAUCUCAUUUUCGGACCCUCAUAGCUCCACCUGAAGCUGAAAUAUCACAACCCUUUGAGUCCAACGCGCCUAACGAGAUCAAAUUUCGUCUUAAUCGAGGAACAUGUUGCACACCUGUCAGUGUCCUCACGACCUCAUCGUACAUUCAGAUCUUCACCGUACCGACUCCGAAAACUUUGCACAUCGUCCCGUUCCCCAUCAGAGCCUUUCCACCCUUGAUCGCUUUAUAAGUGGCAAAAGACUCUUUCUCCAGACAAACGUGAAAGGAACAUGCCGAAUCGAGCACCCACGCACCAUCCGAAAUUUUAGCACCUCCGGUCGCAGCAUAUAGCACAUCAGAAUCGAUCAUCUCCGAUUCUAUUGCCUGCGCCAUCGCUGUUAUCUCCUCGUCCUGGUUCACGACAGUUUUCUCCUUCUGUCGCUUUAACUCCUUCAGAUCAUCUUGAAGUUUUCGACAGUUGCGCUUAAUAUGUCCUUUCCUGUGACAGUAAAAGCACUCUACCUUAGAUAGCAGCUUCUUCUGUCGAUCUCUAGUCGCCAAUGUUGUCGACUCCUUCUUCACUCUCACCACCAAAGCAGUAUCCCGACUCUGCGUGCCAGACUCCUGAGUCAUCUUCCGCAUCUCGUUCGAGAGAAGCGGAGCAGUGAUCGACUCCACGCUUAUGGUCUCCUUGCCAUAGAGCAACGUUGUCACGCCUCGGGACCCGGCAUAGGCCCGCCCGGUGCGUGCCUAGACCCGCCAUAUGCCUGCACAUAUAAGGCGUCUGCAACAAUAGCGAUAAAUGAACAAGAAUAAAGAGUAUCUAGAGAUAUCAGAGCAAGUAUACAGCUAGAUUCUAUCAACAAGUAGAAUCAAAGAAAACUAAACUACUAAAGUAAAGUGUAAAGUAAUACAUCAUAAGUCUCAUGACACAUCAAAAGGGAUGGUCUCUAUACACAGGUACAAAUGUCUCAACCUCUCCAAAACAAAACCCAAAAGAAAGGUAGACCACCUAUCGUUGAAUCUCUUGCUAGCUAGCUCGAGGCGAUUCCUUUCCCGCGAUCCCGAGCCUCUCCCGGAGUGGAAGGCUCUGAAAGAAAACAUAAAACAGAGAGCGUGAGAACUAUAAUUUAUAGUUCCCAGUGGGCAAUUACCGACCUCAGCACAAUGCACCACUAGGCCCAAAGCAGAUAUGAUAAGCGACUAAUAAACUGCAGGUAUAAAAGCAUGUAUAGAAAUGCUAAACUACUAUGCCGCAAUAUAACAUGUGUCAACAUGGUGUACAUCUAUUCUAUCAUGAUCCAAUAUACUAAUACAUAUCUGGUAUGCUUUAUCAUGGCAACCAAGUAUACUAAAAUGCAAUGAGCAAUACUAUCAAGUAUACUACAUGUCCAAAUGUCCAAUAAAUCCAACUACGUUAUGCUAUCAAGUAGUGAUUGUCAUAAUACUGUUUAAUGUCCUCGUUCAAUCUCAUUUAGGACCUACACAUUUGUAGUCCAACUUGUGCCACCUAGCUGCUUGUGGUAGCCCAUCAUCCCACACUAGAAAUGAGUCUGUCCCAUGGGGCCCUAUAGGCGUCUCAAUCCCGCACGAGCGAGCUCAAGGAUCCGGCCAUCAUGUCCCUAACAUGGAAAUAAUCACUAGCACCCCAAAGGUCUAGUCCAAGUCCCAAAGUAAGGUUCAACCACACAUUAAGUUUAAUGCCCAUUUAUGACAUUUUGCCUUACUAUGUCCAAAUCCAAAUCCAACACUAAUGCCACUUCAUGACAUUAGGUUUUACUAUGUCCAAUCAUAUUCGAAGUCUAAUGCCACUUCAUGGCAAUAUCUAUUCCUAGUCCACAUAUAUGUAUAUGUAUAUUCCAAGACCAAUGCCACUUUAUGACAUUAGGUCCUCUACUAUGCCCAACAUGAGUUUUAAGUCCAAGAGUGUAUUGUACAUGUCAUUUUCACUACAGAAAACAUAAUUCCAAGUCACGUAUAAGAAUGCUAUCCCAACAUGAAUAACUCUCUACUAUAUCGAGGUCCAAAUAUGCAUUAUACAUAACAUGUGCAUUUUAAGCAUUCUAAAAUUCACAAAUAUUCUAUCUAAUAUGAAUAUGCAUGAAGUUCCAUGAUACGACAAGUACAAUCAUCAUAUGAGAAUUUAUCUCAUUUUGGUGAGGCCAAACCUACCAAGUCUCCUCGAAACCCUUCGUUCGCGCCGACGAAGGUGCCCACGACUCUCCUAGCACCCUAAAGAUAAUAUUGGGAGAGUUAAACGAACGAAACGAACAACCCAAAGGUUAAACAUUAACCAACUCAAGAAAAUGGCAAAAACUCACCUAAGUGUAGAAAAUUCCUCUCAAUCCUCAAAUGAGAGCUAGAACCCUUCCAAUCCAACAUAGGGGAAGGUUCUAAUCCAAGCAAUUGAACUCCAAAAGCCCUAAAUCCAAAAUCUCGAAAUAAACCUUAAAUUACUCAUUUCUAGGGUUUCUAUAUAAAAAUCAUACAAAACAUGAUCUAGAGAGGGGGAGAAGGCUACCAAUCUCUAAAGAAGCUUCAAUAAGGCUUGGGAUAAGCUAGGGUUGAAGAUCUCUCGUCCAACAAGCUCCAAUCCAAUCUCCAAGUCUUCUCCAAUAGUGGAAAAGCCACCAAGAUGGAAAAAGAGAGCAAAAGAUGUGUUUAAUCCCCAAAAAUUCCAACCAAAUAGUAGAAGAUCAAAGAGAAGAAGUGGAGGGCUCCUUACCUCUCUCUCCUCUGUUUCCAAACUCAGAAAAACCCCAAAGGGUCGUGGGGGUAUUUGUAGUAAUGUUACAAUUCCAAAAACACCCCUAAAAAACUGCCAGACUACAGUUUGCAAAGUGUACUGGUACACGGAAAAGUGUACCGGUACAACACCCCAGUACGCGCAAACCCGAGUCUCGGGUUGGCAGAAAUCUGCCUUUUGUAUUGGUACAAACCCAAUAUUGUACCAGUACAACCCCUUGUUCCGGUACAACAUCAAUGUUCUACCGGUACAACACUCUGCAGAACCCAACCCGAGAGCAGCCUAAGUCCUUCUCUUUGGAGACCUUAGUGCUAAGUUUUAAACCUCGAUUCUCGAAAUGCGAGGCAUAGGUCGGAACACUGUCAACGACCCUCCAGAAAAUCUGAAAAAAUUCAGAUCAUAGAUCAAACAUUCGAAUCUUGCAAUUUGCACAAGUCCAGUGUGCUACAAACGUGGUCACUAGAUGCUCAUAUGUCGUCUACAGUGAAGAUAAUAAAAUCAGCGCCUUAUCUUCGUCAUCCAGAUUGACUCCGAUGCUAGUCAACUGGGCCACCACCUUGUUGAACUCGUUCAGAUGCUCGUGUAGGCUCGCCGCUUCUUGCAUCUGCAGUGUAAACAGUCGCUGCUUCAGAUACAUUCUAUUCGUCAGGGACUUGGCCAUGUACAGAUCUUUCAAUUUCUUCCACAACUUCGCCAGUGUUGUCUCGCUGGCUACGUUGUAAAGAACCUCAUCUGCUAAUGAUAGAUAAAGCGUACUCAGCGCCUUCCGCUCCAUCUUCGUCCAUGCCGCAUCCGUGACCUCCGCCGGCUUCGCCUUUUUUCCGUUCAACGUCUCAUCUAAUUCUUGCUGUAUAAGGAUUGCCCGUAUUUUAAUUUGCCACAAUCCAAAAUUGUUCUUGCCAUCGAACUUUUCGAUUUCGAAUUUUGUGGCCAUCUUCGUCGAUCUCUCCCGCAGAUCAGUAACCUUUAGAUCUGAUACCAAUUGUUGGGAAUCCGGUACUCGCCCCGGUACCGAAUCUUGAGAAUCCACAACAUGCUCCGAUACUGACUACUGUAGAUCCGGUACCGAUUGUUGGGAUUCCGCAACGGAAGCAUCGAAUCGGAUUUUUACCAUAAACCCGUCUCCUCAGCAAAAGCUGAUACAAUCACAAAAGAGAGAAAAACCAAAACAAAAAAUAUGCGGAUAAAAUAAGAUUCAUUAAAUAAGAGAAUAUUACACCUGACUCCUCUUCUACAAUAGAAUAGCCACAACCUGAACCUUCUUUCUUAAAUCUCUUCUACCUUUCUCUUAUCUUUUAUUAAUCUAAAAGACUACUCACUCAUAGACGCACCCGUGUACAAGAUGCAUCCAACUCACUAUCUCUCUCUCUUUUUCUCUCUCUGGUAC
RNAcentral lists this long non-coding RNA (4938 nucleotides) under Ananas comosus (pineapple). RNAcentral describes it as "long non-coding RNA (ACOM_LNC023615)". Lineage: Eukaryota; Viridiplantae; Streptophyta; Magnoliopsida; Poales; Bromeliaceae. The record is from RNAcentral.